RNAcentral lists this ribosomal RNA (271 nucleotides) under uncultured bacterium. Its description in RNAcentral is "partial 16S ribosomal RNA". It matches the Rfam family "Bacterial small subunit ribosomal RNA", at positions 524 to 794 of the family's 1533-position model. The record is from RNAcentral.
UACAGAGGGGGCAAGCGUUAUUCGGAAUUAUUGGGCGUAAAGGGCGCGUAGGCGGCCUCGUAAGUCGAAGGUGAAAUCCCCGAGCUUAACUCGGGAACUGCCUUCGAUACUGCUUGGCUUGAGUCCGGGAGGGGAGAGCGGAAUUCCCAGUGUAGCGGUGAAAUGCGUAGAUAUCGUGGAGAACACCCGUGGCGAAGGCGGGCUUCUGGCUAAUAACUGACGCUGAGGUGCGAAAGCUAGGGGAGCGAACGGGAUUAGAUACCCUGGUAGU